AGUACAAAUUUUUGGUAAUUUUAUUUACCAAACCCAAUUUAAGGUUGAAUCGCGCAACCACGCAUGUAUCUGAUAAGUAAAAGAAAUUGGAAUCUAUAGAAAUAAGUAAUUCCAUACUAUUUUAUUUCAAAAAAAUCAUAAUAACAGUCAGUUUUAUGAUGGACAGUGGUAUCAUAUUGAAAAAUCCCACAUUUAUAAAUAAUUGGAGUUAUAUUUACAUGUGUCUUUUUAUUUUAUAAAAGAAGUAUUUUUCAACAUUUCAAUUUUAUAGAUAUAUAAGAAUUAAAUAUUACAUAGUUGUUUAAAUUUGGCAUGUCUUCACAUAAACAUUCUUAUUGUUUAUAUGUUAUAAUUUAUUGUUUAGAUUAUUCAGUUCCUUGGUUGUGUAUAUGAACUUAUUUGUACUUUGUAAAAAUUUGGAAUAUAAAUAAUUAACAUGUACAUAUAUAUUUGUACAGAAACUUUAUUACAAUCACUGAAAAAAUAAUUACAAUCAUUCAAAAACUUUGAAUUAAGUGGCCAUUGUACGUUGGGCCAUGGUAAUUCAUGAGAAAACAAAUUUUAAUUUGGGCCAUAGUAUCUUAUUAUAUAAAGAGAUGUUUGUCUCUCUCACGUUCGUCCACGUCACCCUCCACGUAUGAAAAUAGAGCAUCCUCCAGCCAACACGUGUCCAUGCGAAAGAAACGCUCCGUUUCAUUUAUUUGUGUAUGCAAUACAUGUGGGCUUUAGUGUGUAUUUGGGCUUAAUGAAUCCAAUCCGGAUAAAGAAACUCCAACUUUUAUGGAAACGCGUCGUUUCUGAUUUAGGGUAACACGUUCUUCAUUUCCCCCAUUCGAGAGCUAAUCUCAACCUAAGGUUUCUCUGGUGCUGUUUCAUCUUCUUCAUAACAAUCCUAGAAACUAUCAGUUACAAAUUCAUCCUCUUAAAUCCACCACCCACGAUCUACCUUGAAUGAGAUCUUCACGUAAGGCUGUGGAAUUACAACUAUAAAAAGAUUUGAAGACCGGAUGAGUACGGCACAGUAGGAGGAGGAAAGCGGUAGCGACAGAGGAGAGGAGGAUCAAGGCAAUUAGGGACCAGCCGUGUCCGGUUUGAAUCCAGUUGUUUAUUGUAAUUUUUCCGUCCUGUUCAUCAUUAUUUUGAACACACAGGGUGAUUAGAUUCAUAUUUAUCAGAAUUAUGCUUUUAGUAUCAUAGUUUUCCUUUUUACAAUAUGAUUUGAAUCUGUUGUUUAUUAUUUUAUUAUUUUUGGUAAUCGGUUUCAGGCAACAUUCAUUCCAGUGUUCAUGUCUUCCCACUUAUAAGUGACUGGGUUCUAUGUUUUACUUUGAUUUCACUUGGUGUAAUCAGAACUUUUGACUGUAGACUCUCUUCAAUUGAUGCGGUCCAGUGAUGAACCCGGUUUGAUGAGUUAACCGAACCGAUUACACCCAUUCCUGAAGAACACUUCGGGUUCCGUAAUCACAGUGAACUGCUUUGCAUAAUCAACACCAAUACCUUGACAAAGUCUUAUUUUGUUUCUUGAUGAGCUACUGCUCAAAAUCUUGAAUCUUUUUUUUUUGUUUAGGUAAAUGUAUGAACUCCAAGAGUUUCUGAAACAAGCGUGAGGAGAACAGCAGUUUGAGGAAGGAAUGGUAGUUUAUUGGAUUGUUGAAGAUGGCUGUCAAUGAAGGUAUUAACUUAGCUAUCAGACUUGGUGUGAAGUGAUCCUUAUGUUGUCUUCAAUCUAGGGAAGCAAAAACUUCAAACAGCAGUUGUGAAUAGUAAUUUGAACCCGUAUGGAAUCAAGAACUUAUGAUGUCUGUUCCUAAGAGCUAUGGUCAUCAAGUUGAUAUCCAGCCUCUGAUACAUUCUCUGCUGAUGACAAAAUGUGAGAAGCUCAACUUGAUAUCCAGCCUCUGCUGAUGACAUAAAUUAUGAUACAUUCUCUGCUGAUGACAUAAUGGGAGAAACUCAACUUGAUAUCCAGCCUCUGAUAACAUCUGCAAUGGCGUUUGAGGAUCCAUAGAUGUUUGGGGAUAUGCAGAUUGGGAAAUGGCUAAAGUUGCAUGAUAAUCUGCCAAUAGAUGACAGCAUCAUUAACAUUGUUGAUGGGAAAGUGAAGCAUGCAUGAGGUUUAGAUCAAGCUUCAAGAUGUAGAGUCUGUAGAAUUCGAGAUGGAAAUGGAAUGGCUACCACUCGACCAAUAAUACUAAUACCAGUAGGUUCCACUUUAUAAACUUACACUUUUUGCAAUACAUACAUUCCUUUUUUUUUUGUUGAAACAUUUUUAGAUCUCUCAUUUCCUUACACAAAAAUGUAUGUUUGUAAUAUUUUGUUUCUUGGUGGCUAUAUCUUACAAAGUUACUGAUAAGAACUUGCGAAUAUAUUGAUCAACAACACAAAAGAACUAAGAACCUAGGGAUUGUGCAAGAGUCCCUAACUCUCCCAGAUACAUCCACCACAAGAUGCAUAAUGAUUCAGUUACAAUCGAUCAACUAUAUAUAGUGAUCUGACUCUCUAAUACUUACAACUCUAACUGAAUCUUUACUUUCUUCUACAGAUGCCAGGUCACUCUUUAUCUUCUUAUUCUUAUGCAAGUGCCAUGUCAGCAGCUCCUCACGUAUCAGUUACACACUUUUGUAUACGGUUGACUUACACUCUAGAAAUAUAUUUAUCUAAAUACUCAUAAUUAAUAUAUGGUUUCAUUGUAUUUACCAAACUUAAAAUAAUGUUCUGUAACAGUGAAUUUUAUAUUUACUUAUUGGAUUGUUUUAGUGAUUCCAAACAAAUAAAAAUAAAAUAAACUAUCAAUAAUUUCAAAAGUAUGUACAAAAAAGAAACAAAUCAAUGUUUUGAGGAUUCAACCUAACUGAAAUAAUAAAAAUUAUAUUCUAUUUGUUAUAUAUAUAUAAAUUAUACUCUCUUUGCUAUAUAAAUUAUACUGAUAUAUGUUGUUGUAUGUAUUAUUUAUAGUUAUUGUGUGUUGUCUUUGAGAAAGCACAAACGAUUAUCAGACAUAACGUGUUGAAGAAGUCAUAGGCUUUAUCGGUUACAUUUUUACUCAUGGGUCUUCAUGUCAAGACGUUGCAAAGAGCCUAAGCGUCGUAUUAGAGUGUGAUCAUAAUCAAGUUUUGUUUCCCUAAGAACCUUCGUGGGUGUCAUCAAACAAAUCCUUAUUUGAUAAACUGAUAAUCACCUUUUUGUAUAUAUGAUUAACUGAUAUGAACUUUUAAUUCUCAUGCCUAUCAUUAGUUAGGUAUCUUCACUAUUAUUAAAAUAGUUAAAAUAUGGAAAAACUUAUUCGGUUAUAUUUACUACAUAAUACUAAACUAAACUAACUUUUGUAAGAAAAUGUAAAUGUUGAUAAAUUUCACGAAAAUUCACAUAUACCAAAAACAAAAUUAUGGUGAUGAUUAUUUAGUUAGUUUUUAGUUUUUGGCGUUUGGUUUUUAGUUUUUUGAAUUUAGUUUUUAAUUUUUGGUUUUUAAUUUUACAGUAACUUUUGGUUUUUUUUUUAAACCUGAAUGGUUGUUUUAGACUUUGAUUUUAGAGUUUGAAACAAUUACUAUUAUCACUAAAAUAAAUAAUUAUAUAUUAAAAUUUAUUUUAAAAUAAACAACAAAAGGAAACUUUUAUAAAAUAAAAACGAAUAGCUACAUGUAUACCUACAUAGAUAACUAAAUUAAACUUACAAAACAAACAAAAUAAAAAUUUAAUUAUAUUUUAUAAAAUACGGUAAGAAUGAAUAAACUUUAUUAAAUUCCAGAUUUAAAAAAUAAAUAUUAAUAUCUGGAAUUUUAAAUUUUAUAUUAACAGACUAAACUAUUUUUUUAAAUGGUAUAAAUGCAUAAAAUUUAUAUAGUUAUAACAUACAAAGUAAUAGCUAGAUUCUAAAUUUUAUUUAUAGUCUAUCCAAUUAUUUAUUUUAAAUAUUAGUUACAAGUAAAUUAUUUUAAUAAAUGUGAAAUUACUGAACCAAUAAAUAAAAAAUUAACUAUUUAUAUAUUAUCAGCAAAAAUAUGCAGAUUUGUUUAUUUUGAAUUUUAAAAUAAAUAAACAAGUUAAUAUAUUAAUACAUAUAUAUAUAUAUAUAUAUAUAUAUAUAUACACAAAUAUUUUAAGAAGAAUAAAAAAAUGCAAAACCCACGUAUAAUGUUGAAAAAACUAUAUAAAAUAAUCAAUAUUUUGAGUAUUAAACCUAAGCACAACAAUAAAAACUCAAAUCUACUUCUUAUAUAUAAGAAAAGUUGAGCAAAUAUUUAAGAAAACGUAUACCAUUUCAAUAAUGAAAAUCAUAUCAUGCUAAUACAAACUUAUAAUCUCUAACAAAACUAAUAAAAAUAUAAAAAAAUAAAAAGGUUUAGUUAGACAUAUGUGAAGAUGAUGUGUGCUCAUUAUAAAAAAAAUAUAACAAAAAAAAGAGAUAAUAAUAAAAUUGUAUAAUGUGAGAAAAUGUAUUUGAAAACAAAUAAAAAAACAUAAAACAAGUUAGAAAAAUAAACAAAUAUCCAACAUUAAGUAAAAUGAAUGUAAUAUUUCUCAUCACUUAAAAUUUUCUAAAAUAUAAAAAUCAUUAUUAUACACAUCAAUUGCAAAUGCAAAUCUAAAACACAAACCACAAAAUAAUACAUAAAAUAAAAAUCCAGAUAACAAAUAAAGUAUAUCCCGCCCGUAGGGCGGGCCGACCCUAGUUAUUAUAAUAGUUACGUCAUCAGCCUAUUAGGUUCUGUUUGUUUUUGUUCCGGGAACAAACAAACCUUUUGUGAACAGAAAAAAAAAGGUUUUCGUUUCAUUCUAAACAGAGGUUAUCUCUGUCGUCCUCAACCUCGUCUCUGUUUCUCAUCGCAACUCCAGACAUAGAGACCAAACAAUGGAAGAUCGACGGCCAAAGCGAAUCAAUUAAGCAACAUAGUGACUCAAUAACACUUAUAUACAAGAUCAGCGGUAGUAUGUAUGAUAUAUACCUGAAAUCGAAGAAGAUAAAACUAAUCUCUAUAUUUGGGGAGUGGAGGAUGUAGAUCCGAGUGUAGGUGAAGGAUUGUCGUUUAAGGAGAUAGUGAGAGCGAUUCAGAAGUGAGGAGAAGUGUAUGAGAUGAUCGAAGGUGCAAAGCAGAGGAUGAUGAUUGAGUUGAAGAAACAGAGGAUGGAAACUGCAAAGGAGCUUGAGUUGCAACAAAUGAAAAUGUCAGUGGAUAUGCAGAUGGAGCUUGAAAAAAUCCAAUCUUGGCAAACAUAGAGCUGCUGCUUCAGGUAGCAGAGUGGAACUUUCCUUCGGUUAAGGAUGCUGCAGACGUGGUGAUUGCUACUAUGAUGUCUGGAAUACAGAGACCAGCUAAUGUAUGGAAUACCAAGACCCUUGAAGCGGAUAGACAGAGCCCGGCUUCACUUUUAAAAACAGGGAUACAUCAUCUGCAAGCCUUUGAUCGGCAUGAAGUAUUAGUAGACCAACUAAUCUGUUAUGGAGAAAGAGAAGUACAGUCAUCAUAAGUGAUAUAAAGAGAAACUCUGACUGAUCAAGACAAAGACAGAGAGAUGAGAAUAACUUGUGACAUCAGAGAGCAUAAGGAAGGAAGACCAAUGAGUUAGUCAACAACCUUGACAACAAAUAAACUUUGAAUACGGUUAGUAAUUACUUAUCUAUCAUAACUAAUUGAUAACUUGAAAGCAAUGUAAAAAUAUUUAGAAUAACUUAGAUUAUGAAAAAAAAUUGGCUUAAGUAUAGAUGUUGGGCUAAUACUUGUUUUAGGGAUGCAAACCAGCUACUCUUUCUUCACGAUCUUGUAUAACAUUGCAUUUGUCAUCAUUUUGAUAGCUGAUAUCAUGUCAUUCUAAAUGUGACGCAUGUUUGAGUUGGACGUUCUGAGGACAAAAUUGCAGCAAUCCAGGCAACACCUGCC
Molecule: long non-coding RNA, 5879 nt
Organism: Brassica napus (rape)
Lineage: Eukaryota; Viridiplantae; Streptophyta; Magnoliopsida; Brassicales; Brassicaceae
Exons: 9
Source: RefSeq, a predicted model, not a curated record